GAUGAACGCUGGCGGCGUGCCUAAUACAUGCAAGUCGAGCGAACAGACGAGGAGCUUGCUCCUCUGACGUUAGCGGCGGACGGGUGAGUAACACGUGGAUAACCUACCUAUAAGACUGGGAUAAUUUCGGGAAACCGGAGCUAAUCCCGGAUAAUAUAUUGCACCGCAUGGUUCAAUAGUGAAAUACGGUUUUGCUGUCACUUCUAGAUGGUUCCGCGCCGCAUUGGCUGGUUGUGAAGGUAAUGGGUUUCCAAGGGUACGAUGCGUAGCCGACCUGACGGGGUGGUCGCCCGCACUAGAAGUGAGACAGGGACCAGGCUCCUGCGGGAGGGAGCAGUAGGGAAUCUUACGCAAUGGGCGAGAGCCUGACGGAGCAACGCCGCGUGAGUGAUGAAGGUCUUCGGAUCGUAAAACUCUGUUAUUAGGGAAGAACAAAUGUGUAAGUAACUAUGCACGUCUUGACGGUACCUAAUCAGAAAGCCACGGCUAACUACGUG
Molecule: ribosomal RNA, 497 nt
Filed under: uncultured bacterium
Lineage: Bacteria
Description: partial 16S ribosomal RNA
Rfam family: Bacterial small subunit ribosomal RNA
Source: RNAcentral